RNAcentral lists this ribosomal RNA (506 nucleotides) under Anomaloglossus degranvillei (Degranville's rocket frog). RNAcentral's name for it is "partial 16S ribosomal RNA". The stretch from base 1 to 156 matches the Rfam family "Bacterial large subunit ribosomal RNA", at positions 676 to 852 of the family's 2925-position model. Lineage: Eukaryota; Metazoa; Chordata; Amphibia; Anura; Aromobatidae. The record is from RNAcentral.
AACUAGUCUAAUUAGGCAAAAAGAUUUACAGUCUAACCCCCCGAACCCGGGCGAGCUAUUCUAAGACAACUUCACGAGUUAACCCGUCUCUGUCGCAAAAGAGUGGGAAGAUCUUAUAAUAGUGGUGACAGACCAAACGAGCCUGGCGAUAGCUGGUUGCUUUUUAAAUGAAUUUUAGUUCCACUCAAAGGCCCUCAAAAUAAGAAUAAAUCCCCUUUGAAGCAAUUCAAAUAAGGUUCAGCCUAUUUGAAAAAGGACACAACCUCAGCCACUGGGUUACCAUGUUUUUUUAUGCUCAAGUAGGCCUAAAAGCAGCCACCUUCUAUAAAAGCGUCAAAGCUUAAUCAUCUUAAAACUCAAUUCCUCAAACAUCUACCAACCCCUCAUCUAUAAAAAGCAACUCUAUACUAAUUAUAGAAAAUUUUAUGUUAAAACUAGUAACAAGAAGCAGCCCUUCUCUUAAAUGCAUCUGUAUAUCAGCCAGGACACCCCACUGAUACUUAAAC